Molecule: long non-coding RNA, 821 nt
Organism: Chinchilla lanigera (long-tailed chinchilla)
Lineage: Eukaryota; Metazoa; Chordata; Mammalia; Rodentia; Chinchillidae
Exons: 3
Source: RefSeq, a predicted model, not a curated record
GUUUGUCCCCCAAAGGUUCCUGUGCUAGACUCUUGGUCCCCAGUGAGGUGACGGAAGCUUUAGGAGCUCAAGCCCAGAAGAAGCUCUAUUUGUUUAAAUGGGGAAAUAUGUAAUACCCAAAAGGCUGGAGACUCAAACUACACCCGAAGCAAGCUCAAAUGAUUUGGAACCUUUGGGAAGUGAUCCUCGCAAGACUUUUGUAGCUGCUGCUGCAGGGGUACAGGAGGAUGGACAGAAAGGACAGACUGUGGAGAGCAGUAAUCACUGUGUAACUGAGUUCUUCCAAUUGAGCUCCAGACAACUCUCUACUCACAGGACCUCAAACUCACAAGAACGUUGGUUUCAUGUUAUUACGGCUAGAUGUGCUUUGCUGUGAACUUCAGGAGUCGGUCACACACUGCACAGGGACGGCUUUGGUUAACGACGGGCUGCAUGUGUGAUGGUGGCCCCAGAAGGUCUGCAGCCUAGUGAUGUCACAGCCACCUAGUUUGUGCAGCAUGCUCUAUGAUAUUCACACAGUAAAGAGUCACCUACCAACACACCUUUCAGAAGGGAGCCCUGUCUUUAAGUGACACAAAAUAUACAUUAUGUCUAAAUUAAAAAAUUAUGACAGUAUAAGACACAUUGCCAUUAAUACCCCUCAAAAUGCUCAGCCUUGCUUGGAACACACUCAGCCCAUCCCUCUUGUCACUUUCUGAAACAAUUCUGGAAGGCCUCUUUUAGUGUCUUAACAAAGAGUAAUUAAAAAUAAAAAACAAAAAAACCCACUGCCGUCCAGUGGAAAGGCGGGCGCCUGGAGACACCAAGGUGUGUCCUCUUCA